This 265-nucleotide non-coding RNA is filed under the name Vitis vinifera (wine grape). RNAcentral describes it as "Archaeal small subunit ribosomal RNA". It matches the Rfam family "Archaeal small subunit ribosomal RNA", at positions 901 to 1172 of the family's 1478-position model. The record is from Rfam by way of RNAcentral. Lineage: Eukaryota; Viridiplantae; Streptophyta; Magnoliopsida; Vitales; Vitaceae.
UUUAAUUGGAUUCAACGCCGGAAAUCUUACCGGGACCGACAGCAACAUGAAGGCCAAGCUGAAGACUUUGCCGGAUUAGCUGAGAGGUGGUGCAUGGCCGUCGUCAGUUCGUACUGUGAAGCAUCCUGUUAAGUCAGGCAACGAGCGAGACCCACGCCCACAGUUGCCAGCGUACUCUCCGGAGUGACGGGUACAUUGUGGGGAAGAUGUUGGGUAAGGGGGGGGGGGGGGGGGCGGAAAUUUCUAACCAGUGGGUCUAAGUGUA